CCGACGUAAUGUACCCUAGUCCAGGACUAGAGACUUGUAUGUUAAAUGGAAAAUCAGAGUAUAUUGUACAAAAGGUGAACUGGAAAUGUUGUUUUAACGUAGUCGAGCGCGGGGCGGCGAGCGAAAUGGUCGAAAUCGAAGUCUUUUUUAAUACUGCUGUUCUGGCAAGCAAGUUAAUUUUGGCGUGGAAAUAAGUGUGAAAGAAACCAAUUAUUUAAUAUCUUUACAACAUUUACCGUUAUUCAUUUGUGUCAUUCGGACUUAUUUCCGAGUCAAAACUGAACUGAAGGUCAUCGGACAUAUGUCCGACCCAAACUCAACGUCACCGGACAUUAUGUCAGACGGCCCUGGAAAAGAUAUUUUAAGGCCUGAUGUCGUCAACUCGGAUCGAAGAAUUGACCUAAAUUUUUCAUGUCUUUUAGUCGAAACUGAACGGCAAGUGGGAAGGCUUAAGAAAGAUCUAAAAGAUGUAAAUGAGGUUUGUAUACAGUAGUUUACAAUCCUGUAGUACAUGUACGUUUGUAUAAUUAUAGGUCACUUUCAUAAUUGAAAUGGUUUUAAAUAUUCUUUUAUAUGCAUUUUUAAUAAGCCUUCUUGGCCGUGUUCUGUUUCUGACGAAGUCUUUUUAAUUAAAAGAAGAUUUAAAACCAUUUCAAUUAAGGAAGUCAUCUGUGUAGCGUUCUGUUCCAGUUCACUAGAAAGGUGUAGUGAGAUGGUUACUUCGAAAAUACAUGCAUUCCACUAUUUUGAGCGAGGACAAAGAGUAUGUUUUGAGUGCUUGACAAUGUAAAACACUACGUUUUAUUAUACACUAACACAUAUUAUUCACCAAUUUUAGGAGAAGAGGGCACUGCAAACGAGAAAUAAAUAUCUUCUUGAUGAAAAUGCUGUGCUUUUACUGGACGCUCAAAACAGGUAAC
This is a non-coding RNA of Paramuricea clavata, 920 nucleotides long. The record is from the annotation of a GenBank genome assembly. NCBI's taxonomy places the organism in Eukaryota, Metazoa, Cnidaria, Anthozoa, Malacalcyonacea, Plexauridae.